UGAACAUGAACCCAAUUGCUUCAUGCAAGCUGUGUCUAUCUCUAAAUGAAGUAAUAUUACUGAACGUGAGUUAAUCACCUGUGGUACUUGGUCCUUAUGUCCAUGACCACUUCAUAAGCUCGUGACUCGUAAGAAAUGGGUAUACAAAAUAAAAACAAAAAUUGGAUGGCCGCAUAGAGAGGUACAAGACACGGCUAGUUGCCAAAGGCUUUGAUCAAUGUGAUGGUGUGGAUUAUCAUGAGAUAUUUGCGCCAGUAAUUAAACCUUCAACUAUUCGUUUAAUUCUAGCAUUGGCAGUCAAUUUUCAUUGGCCAAUUCAGCUAUUAUAUGUUUCAAAUGCCUUUCACAUGACAUAUUGGAUGAGGAGUGUUUAUGGUUCAGUCAAGAAGAUUCUUGAUGGAUCCCAACCUAAUUUUUUUGCAGGAUAUAUAAAUCUAUGGGCUUAAACAAGCUUUGAGAGCAUGGUUUAGAAGACUCUCACGACAACUACUUGAAUAUGAUUUCCUUGAAUCUUUUGUUGAUUCAUCUCUAUAUAUUUAUGGCAGGAAUAACUUAUAAAUAUUUGUUCUUGUUUAUGUAGACAAUAUCAUCGCGACAAGAACAAUACAACGGGUAUUACUCAGUUUAUUGCUGCACUAGGUAUGUUAAUCCCAAAUUCAAUUUAUCUACAUGUUGGGUAGUGGACUCUGGUGCUAUAAGUCACAUAUGCUCUUAUCAUUCCAACUUUAACUCCAUGAAACCUAUUCAGAAUUCGUUUGUCACACUGCCUAACCAUGAACAAAUUCCUGUUCAAUUUAUUGGGAAUGUAAGGUUAUCUGCUGACUUAAUGCUUGAAGAUGUGUUGUUUGUACCUCAAUUUAAAUUCAACUUGUUUUCAGUAAGUUUCUUAACUAGAAAGUCUUCUUUGAGCAUCAGAUUUCUCACUAAUUCAUGUGUGAUUCAGGAGCUGCACACCUUGAAGAUGAUUGGCAGUGGUGAGAAGGUUGUAGAACUCUAUGUUCUUGAUACUAGUUUACUUGAUCUGGUAGCAAAUAAACGUAGCAUUGUUACUAGUCAUACUUAGCAUCAUAGAUUAGGCCAUUUAUCUUUUAAAAGGUUAAAUUUGUUGAAAGACAAAUUGAGAAUUGAUUGGAUGAAGGAAUGUCAUUUUUGCUCUAUGUUCAAUAUGUCCUUUAGCCAAGCAAAGACGGCUUUCAUUUGUAUCAAACAAUCAUUUAGCUCAGGCUGUAUUUGACUUAGUUCACUGUGAUGUUUGGGGCCCCUAUAAUGUCCCUACACAUGCUAGUUAUAGAUACUUUUUAACAUUGGUUGAUGAUUGUAC
RNAcentral lists this long non-coding RNA (1321 nucleotides) under Olea europaea subsp. europaea. Lineage: Eukaryota; Viridiplantae; Streptophyta; Magnoliopsida; Lamiales; Oleaceae. The record is from RNAcentral.